RNAcentral lists this ribosomal RNA (497 nucleotides) under uncultured bacterium. RNAcentral describes it as "partial 16S ribosomal RNA". It matches the Rfam family "Bacterial small subunit ribosomal RNA", at positions 28 to 507 of the family's 1533-position model. The record is from RNAcentral.
GAUGAACGCUGGCGGCGUGCCUAAUACAUGCAAGUCGAGCGAACAGACGAGGAGCUUGCUCCUCUGACGUUAGCGGCGGACGGGUGAGUAACACGUGGAUAACCUACCUAUAAGACUGGGAUAACUUCGGGAAACCGGAGCUAAUACCGGAUAAUAUAUUGAACCGCAUGGUUCAAUAGUGAAAGACGGUUUUGCUGUCACUUAUAGAUGGAUCCGCGCCGCAUGAGCUAGUUGGUAAGGUAACGGCUUACCAAGGCAACGAUGCGUAGCCGACCUGAGAGGGGGAUCGGCCACACUGGAACUGAGACACGGUCCAGACGCCUACGGGAGGCAGCAGUAGGGAAUCGUCCGCAAUGGGCGAAAGCCUGACGGAGCAACGCCGCGUGAGUGAUGAAGGUCUUCGGAUCGUAAAACUCUGUUAUUAGGGAAGAACAAAUGUGUAAGUAACUAUGCACGUCUUGACGGUACCUAAUCAGAAAGCCACGGCUAACUACGUG